GCCUAGGGCCAUACUAUGAACACGCCCGAUCUCGUCUGAUCUCGGAAGCCAAGCAGAGUCAGGCCUGGUUAGUACUUGGAUGGGAGACCGCCUGGGAAUACCAGGUGCUGUAGGCU
RNAcentral lists this ribosomal RNA (116 nucleotides) under Callorhinchus milii (elephant shark). The record is from RNAcentral. Lineage: Eukaryota; Metazoa; Chordata; Chondrichthyes; Chimaeriformes; Callorhinchidae.